RNAcentral lists this ribosomal RNA (319 nucleotides) under Diagramma pictum (painted sweetlips). Its description in RNAcentral is "mitochondrial SSU rRNA". It matches the Rfam family "Microsporidia small subunit ribosomal RNA", at positions 989 to 1311 of the family's 1311-position model. The record is from RNAcentral. Lineage: Eukaryota; Metazoa; Chordata; Actinopteri; Lutjaniformes; Haemulidae.
ACCCUGUGAAGGCCCAACAGUAAGCAGAAGUGGCACACCCCAAAACGUCAGGUCGAGGUGUAGCGCAUGGAAGGGGAAGAAAUGGGCUACAUUCACUGCAUCAGUGAAUACGGAUAGUGCAUUGAAACAUGCACUUGAAGGAGGAUUUAGCAGUAAGUAGAAAGCAGAGUGUUCCACUGAAAAUGGCCCUGAAGCGCGCACACACCGCCCGUCACUCUCCCCGAGCUCCCCAAAACCCAACUAACUAAAACCAGCACUAGCAAUUAGGGGAGGCAAGUCGUAACAUGGUAAGUGUACCGGAAGGUGUACUUGGAAUAUA